RNAcentral lists this long non-coding RNA (897 nucleotides) under Androctonus crassicauda. The record is from RNAcentral. Lineage: Eukaryota; Metazoa; Arthropoda; Arachnida; Scorpiones; Buthidae.
UACAACAAAAACAAAUUCAUAAAAUCCAAAAAAAAAAAAUAAAAAAAAAAAAAAAAGAAUAAAAGUAGCGAAUGGAAGCCCGUUGGGUUUGUGCCGGAAGAAGAGCGGGGCCUGCGCUUGUUUACAUUUCUAAGCCACUUCUAAGGACGCUGUCGGGCGCGCUUCGACUGUUUGGAGAGUGUGAGAAAGGAGGUCUCGACGGAUUCGCCACUCCCACUACAAUGCGCUGCCUUCGGCGCCGGCGGUCGGGCCCCCGAGAUUUACCCGCGGCAAUCUGUUUGUUUUUCCUCCGGGUGACGGACGAAAGCGACGCGUUUGUCCUGUCGUCAAAAGGCGCUUUGUCACUGUCUCCCGCAUUAUCUUUGGGGUAGGUCCGCUUUUAUAACAUGUCGUGUCGAACGUCUUCCGGCCGACGCGACCGAUACCUACCUGAUUAACUAAAACCGCAGUUUUGUUCUUUUAAUUGGCCCAUCGGGAGGCGUUGGACAUCGUUAAGUGCGAAAUAAGUUGGCCCGCCUAUCGGUUGCCAGUUAGUUAAUCUGGAUGAAAUAAUUAAGACGGUUAAUUACUGUACAAAACUUUGUUUCCGAGCGAUGCGGAUCAUGGUUCUAUCGUAUGUCUGUUUUUAGUAGCAUCAAAAAUUCUUUAAAGGGUUUGAUAGUAACGCUGGGAUAAAAAGGAAUGGACCGACGUGGUAGAAAAUAUUAUAUCUCUAACUAUCGACAAAUUUUUUCUGGUAAGGAAGCUUGUGCUAGUUCGACACUCCGUUAAAAUUUCCUAUCCCUGAUAAGGGGCUUCUAAUAAUAAUUCUAACUUGUUUUUUUCUUUUCUUGGCAGGAACACACCUUCGACUGGGAAGGAGUACAUCGAGUUUCCGUCAACGUCAGCAACCAACAC